This 345-nucleotide ribosomal RNA is filed under the name uncultured Methanosaeta sp. RNAcentral's name for it is "bacterial SSU rRNA". It matches the Rfam family "Archaeal small subunit ribosomal RNA", at positions 993 to 1338 of the family's 1478-position model. The record is from RNAcentral. Lineage: Archaea; Methanobacteriati; Methanobacteriota; Methanomicrobia; Methanotrichales; Methanotrichaceae.
CAUGGCCGUCGUCAGUUCGUACUGUGAAGCAUCCUGUUAAGUCAGGCAACGAGCGAGACCCACGCCACAGUUGCCAGCGUACUCUCUGGAGUGACGGGUACACUGUGGGGACCGCCGCUGCUAAAGCGGAGGAAGGAAUGGGCAACGGUAGGUCAGUAUGCCCCGAAUAUCCCGGGCUACACGCGAGCUACAAUGGUUGGUACAAUGGGUAUCUACCCCGAAAGGGGACGGGAAUCUCCUAAAACCAAUCUUAGUUCGGAUUGAGGGCUGCAACUCGCCCUCAUGAAGCUGGAAUCCGUAGUAAUCGCGUUUCAACAGAACGCGGUGAAUACGUCCCUGCUCCUU